RNAcentral lists this ribosomal RNA (490 nucleotides) under uncultured bacterium. RNAcentral describes it as "partial 16S ribosomal RNA". It matches the Rfam family "Bacterial small subunit ribosomal RNA", at positions 28 to 507 of the family's 1533-position model. The record is from RNAcentral.
GAUGAACGCUAGCUACAGGCUUAACACAUGCAAGUCGCGGGGCAGCAUGGGGGUUGCUUGCAACUCCCGAUGGCGACCGGCGCACGGGUGAGUAACGCGUAUCCAACCUGCCCUUCACCACGGGAUAACCCGGCGAAAGUCGGACUAAUACCGAAUGUCGUCCAUUGACGGCAUCCGAUUUGGACGCAAGGCUUUGCGGUGAAGGAUGGGGAUGCGUCCGAUUAGCUAGGCGGGGGGGUAACGGCCCACCGUGGCUAUGAUCGGUAGGGGUUCUGAGAGGGAGGUCCCCCACAGUGGAACUGAGACACGGGCCAGACUCCUACGGGAGGCAGCAGUGAGGAAUAUUGGUCAAUGGGCGUAAGCCUGAACCAGCCAAGUAGCGUGCAGGAUGACGGCCCUAUGGGUUGUAAACUGCUUUUAUGCGGGGAUAAAGUGGCCCACGUGUGGGCUUUUGCAGGUACCGCAUGAAUAAGGACCGGCUAAUUCCGUG